Molecule: ribosomal RNA, 414 nt
Filed under: uncultured bacterium
Lineage: Bacteria
Description: bacterial SSU rRNA
Rfam family: Bacterial small subunit ribosomal RNA
Source: RNAcentral
UGGGGAAUUUUUGGCAAUGGGGGCAACCCUGACCAAGCAACGCCGCGUGGAUGAUGAAGUCUCUUGGGACGUAAAAUCCUUUCGACGGGGAAGAAAACCGCAAGGUUUGACGGUACCCGUAGAAGAAGCCCCGGCUAACUCCGUGCCAGCAGCCGCGGUAAUACGGGGGGGGCAAGCGUUGUUCGGAAUUACUGGGCGUAAAGGGCGCGUAGGCGGUUUGCUAAGUUGGAUGUGAAAACUCUGGGCUUAACCCAGAGCCUGCAUCCAAAACUGGCAGGCUGGAGUUUUGGAGGGGGAAGCGGAAUUCCUGGUGUAGCAGUGAAAUGCGUAGAUAUCAGGAGGAACACCGGUGGCGAAGGCGGCUUCCUGGACAAAAACUGACGCUGAGGCGCGAAAGCUAGGGGAGCAAACAGG